UUGAUCCUGCCGGAGGUUACUGCUAUCGGGGUCCGACUAAGCCAUGCGAGUUGAGAGGGGUAAGCCCUCGGCAUACUGCUCAGUAACACGCGGAUAACCUGCCCUUGGGUCUGGGAUAACCCCGGGAAACUGGGACUAAUACCGGAUAGAUCAGAGAUGCUGGAAUGUUCUCUGGUUCAAAACUCCGGUGCCCAAGGAUGGGUCUGCGGCCUAUCAGGUAGUAGUGGGUGUAACGUACCUACUAGCCAGCGACGGGUAAGGGUUGUGAGAGCAAGAUCCCUGAGAUGGAUUCUGAGACAUGAAUCCAGGCCCUACGGGGUGCAGCAGGCGCGAAAACUUUACACUGCGGGAAACCGCGAUAAGGGGACCCCGAGUGCCAGCACCUAGUGCUGGCUGUCCAGCUGUCUAAAUAACAGCUGUUAGCAAGGGCCGGGCAAGACCGGUGCCAGCCGCCGCGGUAACACCGGCGGCCCGAGUGGUAACCGUUUUUAUUGGGUUUAAAGGGUCCGUAGCCGGCUUAUUAAGUCUCUUGGGAAAUCUGGCGGCUCAAUCGUCAGGCGUCCAAGAGAUACUGGUAGGCUUGGGACCGGGAGAGGUGGGAGGUACUCCAGGGGUAGGGGUGAAAUCUCGUAAUCCUUGGGGGACCACCGAUGGCGAAGGCAUCCCACCAGAACGGGUCCGACGGUGAGGGACGAAAGCUGGGGGCACGAACCGGAUUAGAUACCCGGGUAGUCCCAGCUGUAAACGAUGCUCGCUAGGUGUCAGGUGCGGUGCGACCGCAUCUGGUGCCGCAGUGAAAACUUGAAGCGAGUCACCUGGGAAGUACGGUCGCAAGGCUGAAACUUAAAGGAAUUGGCGGGGGAGCACUACAACGGGUGGAGCCUGCGGUUCAAUUGGAUUCAACGCCGG
RNAcentral lists this ribosomal RNA (909 nucleotides) under uncultured archaeon. Its description in RNAcentral is "bacterial SSU rRNA". It matches the Rfam family "Archaeal small subunit ribosomal RNA", at positions 8 to 921 of the family's 1478-position model. The record is from RNAcentral.